AUGGAUAUAGUGGAAUUGGUUAGACACGCUGAGUUUAGGCCUCAGAAUCUGAGGGUUCAAGUCCCUCUAUCCAUA
This 75-nucleotide transfer RNA is filed under the name Candidatus Riesia sp. RNAcentral describes it as "tRNA-Leu". It matches the Rfam family "tRNA". From Rfam's summary of the family: Transfer RNA (tRNA) molecules are approximately 80 nucleotides in length. Their secondary structure includes four short double-helical elements and three loops (D, anti-codon, and T loops). Lineage: Bacteria; Pseudomonadati; Pseudomonadota; Gammaproteobacteria; Enterobacterales; Enterobacteriaceae. The record is from RNAcentral.